GCCCUCGUAGCUCAGUUGGACAGAGCGUCGGGUUUCUAACCCGCAGGUCGUAGGUUCGACCCCUACCGAGGGUA
This 74-nucleotide transfer RNA is filed under the name Chryseobacterium sp. Its description in RNAcentral is "tRNA-Arg". It matches the Rfam family "tRNA". Rfam says of the family: Transfer RNA (tRNA) molecules are approximately 80 nucleotides in length. Their secondary structure includes four short double-helical elements and three loops (D, anti-codon, and T loops). Further hydrogen bonds mediate the characteristic L-shaped molecular structure. tRNAs have two regions of fundamental functional importance: the anti-codon, which is responsible for specific mRNA codon recognition, and the 3' end, to which the tRNAs corresponding amino acid is attached (by aminoacyl-tRNA synthetases). tRNAs cope with the degeneracy of the genetic code in two manners: having more than one tRNA (with a specific anti-codon) for a particular amino acid; and 'wobble' base-pairing, i.e. permitting non-standard base-pairing at the 3rd anti-codon position. Lineage: Bacteria; Pseudomonadati; Bacteroidota; Flavobacteriia; Flavobacteriales; Weeksellaceae. The record is from RNAcentral.